This 1524-nucleotide long non-coding RNA is filed under the name Cottoperca gobio. Its description in RNAcentral is "lncRNA (ENSCGOG00000017731.1)". Lineage: Eukaryota; Metazoa; Chordata; Actinopteri; Perciformes; Bovichtidae. The record is from RNAcentral.
AUAAUUUCUUGACUACAUGUCUCAGUUUUUUUGUGAAACACACUUUAGUGAUACACACCACUGAGGCAGAAAACCGUGUCUGUGAUCAGUGACAGAACAAACACCUACAGUAUCCUGACAGGUUUGUGAGCUGCUGCUGAUGCUGAGCACUAUUCUUGAAGUAACCCUGCUUUGAUCAUGAAUAGGGAAAUAGAAGGAAACUCGGUCCAACACAAGCCAAACCCAGACAAUUAUCUCAAGCAGGAAGAUGCAUGUUCAGUAGUUUAGCCUUUUGAUCUAUAAUGCCUGUGUCACAAGAAUAACCCUUCAUUUGCUCUACAGGUAGAAUAAUUGUGGUUUCUGAGAGCACAGUACACAGAGCAAGGACAUGUGAUUCUUCAGUGGUGCACCUGUUUCGGUUGUGGAGAAGGGAACCUUUGUCUCCUGUUUAUAAUUCUUCCAACGCCUACACAAACACAAAUGCCUCCACCAAUGUAUCCUGUAUCCUCGCUCGCACAGACAAAACAAGUCAGACAAAUGUCAGCCGUGUGUAUACUACCUGCGCUGGAGAAAAGGGCAGGAUGAAUCUUUCAACAGCUUUCCCCUUUGGCAGUGAACACUCACAACUACCUUGUAACAACAUGUACUUGUUGUAAAAAAGCACAUUCAGAGAUAUUUGCUCAGUCAGACACUGUUAUCAUGUUUGGGCCUAAAGGGAAACACUCCUGUUAGGACAGAAGUUACUCAACGUCUUUUUUUUAAAUGUCACAGAAAGGAGAAUACUGGUUCUUGACAGGGUCUGAAAUCACCACUUUUAGGGUCUCCAUUAUCAUGACCUCAUGUCAGGUAAUUGUCUGGUAUUCAGAGCGACUAUUUUAAUUCCUUUUUGUCAGUAUCCAUGGGAAUAUGAAUAAACAGAGGAAAACAACAGUUCCUGGCAGUGUUAUGCCUCCACUUUGCCACCUCCCUUAUAAAUUCUAUUCUCUGUGCAGCUGCCUGUUUCUGCUGCUGCCCUGCUCUGCCUCUACUCUGCUCGGGUUUAGGUUUUAUUCAGCGUUGCGGUAGAGGUCGACCACAGUCCCCGUGACAUUUUGGCAAAGCACAACAGUAUAGGGUCCAGGGUGGUGAGUGUUUACGGGAACACUCGUGAGGUGGCACCGUGCCAUCCUGCCAAAUGUUAGUCAAAAAAACACUCAUGUUUCCCAACCAGUGGGAGAGACAAGUGUGAACGUUGAGACAGAUGUGUUAUAGAUUAAUAUGCGAUUUUGUUUUUGUGAACAAUCUCUGUUAAUCAUCCCCAUUAAUUUUGGGCGGAUUCAGCUCUAAACGCUAAUGCUGUGAUUAGUUUGAACACUUCAGUUAUCAGGUUUCAGCUUUUGGGAAAACGAAAAAAAAAGUGUCCGACGUCUUAGUCACAUCUUGAUUAGUCACAUCUCUGUUUAGUCUGUUUAGAUUUAGAGUUGUUCUGUUUACUCAAGUACAGAAAUUCCUUCCAGAGUUCUGCUUUUUUUCUUCUUCUAAAGAAGCCAAAAACUGCACCAGGCU